CCCUUAGAUGUUCUGGGCCGCACGCGUGCUACACUGAGUGGAUCAGCGGGUCAGGUUGCGCGAAAGUGUUUCCUAAUCUUGAAAUCCGCUCGUGAUGGGGAUUGACGGUUGCAAUUUCCUGUCAUGAACGAGGAAUACCUUGUAAGCGCGGGUCAUCAUCCCGCGCUGAAUACGUCCCUGCCCUUUGUACACACCGCCCGUCGCUCCUACCGAUUGAGUGGUCCGGUGAGGCUUUGGGAUCUGGAUGGAAAGAGCGUUUCGCUGUUUCUGCCCGGAAAACUCAGUCGAACCUUAUCAUUUAGAGGAAGGAGAAGUCGUAACA
RNAcentral lists this ribosomal RNA (322 nucleotides) under uncultured eukaryote. RNAcentral's name for it is "partial 18S ribosomal RNA". It matches the Rfam family "Eukaryotic small subunit ribosomal RNA", at positions 1470 to 1796 of the family's 1831-position model. The record is from RNAcentral.